This 896-nucleotide ribosomal RNA is filed under the name uncultured bacterium. Its description in RNAcentral is "bacterial SSU rRNA". It matches the Rfam family "Bacterial small subunit ribosomal RNA", at positions 344 to 1403 of the family's 1533-position model. The record is from RNAcentral.
GGAGGCAGCAGUGAGGAAUAUUGGUCAAUGGGCGAGAGCCUGACACCUAGACACAGUGCCCGCGUGCAGGAAGAAUGCCCUAUGGGUUGUAAACUGCUUUUUCGCAUGAAGAACAUCCCGGACGUGUCCGGGACUGACGGUAAUGCGUGAAUAAGCACCGGCUAACUCCGUGCCAGCAGCCGCGGUAAUACGGAGGGUGCAAGCGUUAUCCGGAUUUAUUGGGUUUAAAGGGUGCGUAGGCGGCUUUUUAAGUCAGUGGUGAAAUCCUGCAGCUCAACUGUAGAACAGCCAUUGAAACUGAAGAGCUUGAGUAAUCUUGAGGUAGGCGGAAUGUGUAGUGUAGCGGUGAAAUGCUUAGAUAUUACACAAAACACCGAUUGCGAAGGCUGCUUACUAAGGAUUUACUGACGGGGGCCCGCACAAGCGGAGGAACAUGUGGUUAAUUCGAUGAUACGCGAGGAACCUUACCUGGGCUUAAAUGUGCUAUGACCGCCGGAGAAAUUUGGCUUUUCGCAAGAACAGAGUACAAGGUGCUGCAUGGUUGUCGUCAGCUCGUGCCGUGAGGUGUCGGGUUAAGUCCCAUAACGAGCGCAACCCUUAUUGUCAGUUGCUAACAGGUAAUGCUGAGGACUCUGGCGAGACUGCCACCGUAAGGUGUGAGGAAGGUGGGGAUGACGUCAAAUCAGCACGGCCCUUAUGUCCAGGGCUACACACGUGUUACAAUGGCCGAUACAAAGGGCAGCUACCGGGCGACCGGAUGCUAAUCUCUAAAGUCGGUCUCAGUUCGGAUCGAAGUCUGCAACCCGACUUCGUGAAGCUGGAUUCGCUAGUAAUCGCGCAUCAGCCAUGGCGCGGUGAAUACGUUCCCGGGCCUUGUACACACCGCCAUCCAUAUG